Molecule: long non-coding RNA, 1048 nt
Filed under: Arabidopsis thaliana (thale cress)
Lineage: Eukaryota; Viridiplantae; Streptophyta; Magnoliopsida; Brassicales; Brassicaceae
Description: long non-coding RNA (ATHA_LNC000288)
Source: RNAcentral
UUUGGAGGAGUUUCCGGUGGUGUGUUUGGAGGUGUCUGUGGAGGUGUGUUUGGUGGAAGCGUUGGUGGAAUUUGUGGUGGUGUGUUUGGUGGAAGCGUUGGUGGAGAUUGUGGUGGUGUGUUUGGAAGAGCUUCCGGUGGUGUGUUUGGUGGAAGCGUUGGUAGAGUCUCUGGUGGUGAGUUUGGAGGAGUUUGCGGUGGUGUCUCCGGUGGUGUGUUUGGUGGAAGCGUUGGUGGAAUCUGUGGUGAUUGGUUUGGAGGAGUUCCCGGUGGUGUGUUUGGAAGUGUCUCCGGUGGUGUGUUUGGAGGCGUUUCCGGUGGAGUGUUUGGAGGACUUUGUGGGGGUGUGUUUGGUGGAGUUUCCGGUUGUGUGGUUGGAGGAGUUUCCGGGGGUGUGUUUGGAGGAGUUUCUGGUGGUGUGGUUGGAGGUGUCUUUGGUGUGUUUGGAGGAGUUCCCGGUGGUGUGUUUGGAGGUGUUUCUGGUGGAGUAUUUGGAGGACUUUGUGGGGGGGUGUUUGGUGGAGUUUCUGGUGGUGUGAUUGGAGGAGUUUCUGGUGGUGUGGUUGGAGGUGUCUCCGGUGGUGUGUUUGGAGGAGUUCCUGGUGGUGUGUUUGGAAGUGUCUCUGGUGGUGUGUUUGGAGGAGUUCCCGGUGGUGUGUUUGGAGGUGUUUCUGGUGGAGUAUUUGGAGGACUUUGUGGGGGGGUGUUUGGUGGAGUUUCUGGUGGUGUGAUUGGAGGAGUUUCUGGUGGUGUUGUUGGAGGUGUCUCCGGUGGUGUGUUUGGAGGAGUUCCUGGUGGUGUGUUUGGAAGUGUCUCCGGUGGUGUGUUUGGAGGAGUUCCCGGUGGUGUGUUUGGAGGUGUUUCUGGUGGAGUAUUUGGAGGACUUUGUGGGGGUGUGUUUGGUGGAAUUUCCGGUGGUGUGGUUGGAGAAGUUUCCGGUGGUGUGUUUGGAGAAGUUUCUGGUGGUGUGGUUGGAGGUGUCUCCGGUGGUGUGGUUGGAGGUGUCUCCGGUGGUGUGUUUGGAGGAGUUCCCGGUGGUGUGUUUGGAG